UGGCUCAGUUGAUAGAGCAUGGUGUUUGCAACGCCAGGGUUGUGGGUUUGAUUCCCAC
This is a non-coding RNA of Salmo salar (Atlantic salmon), 58 nucleotides long. Lineage: Eukaryota; Metazoa; Chordata; Actinopteri; Salmoniformes; Salmonidae. The record is from Rfam.